CUUCAUUGCUUUUGUGAUAAGAUAAGAAUAGAAGAAAUGCUUUUGGUGAAGGUAGUGAUGUAGAACUGAGGUCAGAUUUUAGGAACUAAAUGUGUUAGGUAUUUAGUCUGUCAGAUGAGUGAGACUUUUGGAACUUCAAGACUAAAUCUGUGGCCUGGAAUCCAGAUUCAGUUCCAGGCAGUCAUCUCUAUCAGAAAAAAAAAUUCCAGAGCCUUCUCCUGUAACAAGGAGAAAGGCAUAUGAGAAAGCAGAAAAAUCAAAGGCCAAGGAACAAAAGCAGGGCAUAAUCAACCCAUUUCCUGCUUCAAAAGGAAUCAGAGCUUUUCCACUUCAGUGUAUUCACAUAGCUGAAGGGCAUACAAAAGCUGUGCUCUGUGUGGAUUCUACUGAUGAUCUCCUCUUCACUGGAUCAAAAGAUCGUACUUGUAAAGUAUGGAAUUUGGUGACUGUGCAGGAAAUAAUGUCA
RNAcentral lists this long non-coding RNA (466 nucleotides) under Pan troglodytes (chimpanzee). Its description in RNAcentral is "long non-coding RNA NONPTRT003509". The record is from RNAcentral. Lineage: Eukaryota; Metazoa; Chordata; Mammalia; Primates; Hominidae.